GGCUCGAUGGCGGAUGGUCCGCACCUGCAUCAUAUUGAAGAAUGCCUUCCAAGUAUGCAGGAGGUGCCCGUUCGAUUCGGGCUCGAGCCA
Molecule: non-coding RNA, 90 nt
Organism: Mycena epipterygia
Lineage: Eukaryota; Fungi; Basidiomycota; Agaricomycetes; Agaricales; Mycenaceae
Source: the annotation of a GenBank genome assembly